This 287-nucleotide signal recognition particle RNA is filed under the name Aotus nancymaae (Ma's night monkey). RNAcentral describes it as "Metazoan signal recognition particle RNA (ENSANAG00000000146.1)". It matches the Rfam family "Metazoan signal recognition particle RNA". From Rfam's summary of the family: The signal recognition particle (SRP) is a universally conserved ribonucleoprotein. It is involved in the co-translational targeting of proteins to membranes. Lineage: Eukaryota; Metazoa; Chordata; Mammalia; Primates; Aotidae. The record is from RNAcentral.
GCUAGGUCUGGUGGCGCAUUCCUGUAGUCCUGACUUAUAGGGAGGCUGAGACUGGGGGAUCACUUGAGCCCAGGAGUUCUGGGCUAUAGUGUGCUAUGCUGACUGGGUGUUUGCACUAAGUAGACAUCAAACUUCCAGGAGCAGGGGACCAACCCAGGUUUCCUAAGGAGAGGUGAACUGGUGCAGGUCAGAAACAGAACAGGUCAAAACUCCCAUGCCGAUCAGUAGUGGAAUCACACAUGUGAAUAGCCCCAGCACUUCAGAGUCACCAGAAUGUCCUCAUCUGA